AUAAGGUUAAGUGAAUAAGGGCGCACGGUGGAUGCCUUGGCACUAGGAGCCGAUGAAGGACGGGACUAACACCGAUAUGCUUUGGGGAGCUGUACGUAAGCUAUGAUCCAGAGAUUUCCGAAUGGGGAAACCCAACAUCUUUUAUAGGAUGUUACGUUUGCGUGAAUACAUAGCGCAUUCGAGGUAGACGCAGAGAACUGAAACAUCUAAGUACCUGCAGGAAGAGAAAGAAAAUUCGAUUCCCUGAGUAGCGGCGAGCGAAACGGGAAAAGCCCAAACCAAUGAGCUUGCUCAUUGGGGUUGUAGGACUCCAAUAUGGUAGUUCUUUCAGAUAAUCGAAUGACUUGGAAAAGUCAGUCAAAGAGGGUAAAAACCCCGUAGAUGAAAUUUGGAAGGCACCUAGGAGGAUCCUGAGUACGGCGGAACACGAGGAAUUCCGUCGGAAUCCGGGAGGACCAUCUCCCAAGGCUAAAUACUCCCUAGUGACCGAUAGUGAACCAGUACCGUGAGGGAAAGGUGAAAAGCACCCCGGAAGGGGAGUGAAAUAGAACCUGAAACCGUGUGCCUACAACAAGUCAAAGCCCGUUAAUGGGUGAUGGCGUGCCUUUUGUAGAAUGAACCGGCGAGUUACGAUUGCAUGCGAGGUUAAGUCGAAGAGACGGAGCCGCAGCGAAAGCGAGUCUGAAUAGGGCGUUUGAGUAUGUAGUCGUAGACCCGAAACCAUGUGAUCUACCCAUGUCCAGGUUGAAGGUGCGGUAAAACGCACUGGAGGACCGAACCCACGUACGUUGAAAAGUGCGGGGAUGAGGUGUGGGUAGCGGAGAAAUUCCAAACGAACUUGGAGAUAGCUGGUUCUCUCCGAAAUAGCUUUAGGGCUAGCCUCGGAUUUGAGAAUGAUGGAGGUAGAGCACUGUUUGGACUAGGGGCCCAUCUCGGGUUACCGAAUUCAGAUAAACUCCGAAUGCCAUUCAUUCAUAUCCGGGAGUCAGACUGUGAGUGAUAAGAUCCAUAGUCGAAAGGGAAACAGCCCAGACCACCAGCUAAGGUCCCAAAAUAUAUGUUAAGUGGAAAAGGAUGUGGGGUUGCACAGACAACUAGGAUGUUGGCUCAGAAGCAGCCACCAUUUAAAGAGUGCGUAAUAGCUCACUAGUCGAGUGACCCUGCGCCGAAAAUGUACCGGGGCUAAACAUAUUACCGAAGCUGUGGAGUACACCAUUAGGUGUAUUGGUAGGAGAGCGUUCUAAGGGCGUUGAAGGCAGAUCGUGAGGACUGCUGGAGCGCUUAGAAGUGAGAAUGCCGGUAUGAGUAGCGAAAGACAGGUGAGAAUCCUGUCCACCGAAUGACUAAGGUUUCCUGGGGAAGGCUCGUCCGCCAGGGUUAGUCGGGACCUAAGCCGAGGCCGACAGGCGUAGGCGAUGGACAACAGGUUGAUAUUCCUGUACUCGUUGUUUUUGUUUGAGCAAUGGAGGGACGCAGGAGGCUAAGGAAUGCAGACGAUUGGAAAUGUCUGUCCAAGCAGUAAGUCUUGAUAGGAGUCAAAUGCUUCUGUCUACACGGAUAAGCUGUGAUGGGGAGGGAAAUAAUAGUACCGAAGUUCCUGAUGUCACACUGCCAAGAAAAGCUUCUAGUGAGAAAACAAUGACCCGUACCGCAAACCGACACAGGUAGUCGAGGAGAGAAUCCUAAGGUGAGCGAGAGAACUCUCGUUAAGGAACUCGGCAAAAUGACCCCGUAACUUCGGGAGAAGGGGUGCUGAUCUUUGAUCAGCCGCAGUGAAUAGGCCCAAGCGACUGUUUAUCAAAAACACAGGUCUCUGCAAAAUCGUAAGAUGAAGUAUAGGGGCUGACGCCUGCCCGGUGCUGGAAGGUUAAGAGGAGUGCUUAGCGUAAGCGAAGGUACGAAUUGAAGCCCCAGUAAACGGCGGCCGUAACUAUAACGGUCCUAAGGUAGCGAAAUUCCUUGUCGGGUAAGUUCCGACCCGCACGAAAGGCGUAACGAUUUGGGCACUGUCUCAACGAGAGACUCGGUGAAAUUUUAGUACCUGUGAAGAUGCAGGUUACCCGCGACAGGACGGAAAGACCCCAUGGAGCUUUACUGUAGUUUGAUAUUGAGUGUCUGUACCGCAUGUACAGGAUAGGUAGGAGCCGUAGAAAUCGGAACGCUAGUUUCGAUGGAGGCGCUGGUGGGAUACUACCCCUGCGUUAUGGCCACUCUAACCCGCACCACUGAUCGUGGUGGGAGACAGUGUCAGAUGGGCAGUUUGACUGGGGCGGUCGCCUCCUAAAAGGUAACGGAGGCGCCCAAAGGUUCCCUCAGAAUGGUUGGAAAUCAUUCGAAGAGUGUAAAGGCAGAAGGGAGCUUGACUGCGAGACCAACAAGUCGAGCAGGGACGAAAGUCGGGCUUAGUGAUCCGGUGGUUCCGCAUGGAAGGGCCAUCGCUCAACGGAUAAAAGCUACCCUGGGGAUAACAGGCUUAUCUCCCCAAGAGUCCACAUCGACGGGGAGGUUUGGCACCUCGAUGUCGGCUCGUCGCAUCCUGGGGCUGUAGUCGGUCCCAAGGGUUGGGCUGUUCGCCCAUUAAAGCGGCACGCGAGCUGGGUUCAGAACGUCGUGAGACAGUUCGGUCCCUAUCCGUCGCGGGCGUUGGAAAUUUGAGAGGAGCUGUCCUUAGUACGAGAGGACCGGGAUGGACUUACCGCUGGUGUACCAGUUGUUCUGCCAAGGGCAUUGCUGGGUAGCUAUGUAGGGAAGGGAUAAACGCUGAAAGCAUCUAAGUGUGAAGCCCACCUCAAGAUGAGAUUUCCCAUUUCUUUAAGAAAGUAAGAUCCCUGAGAGAUGAUCAGGUAGAUAGGUCAGGAGUGGAAGGCCAGUGAUGGUUGGAGCGGACUGAUACUAAUCGAUCGAGGACUUAACCAAA
Molecule: ribosomal RNA, 2917 nt
Filed under: Lactobacillus sp. Koumiss
Lineage: Bacteria; Bacillati; Bacillota; Bacilli; Lactobacillales; Lactobacillaceae
Description: 23S ribosomal RNA
Rfam family: Bacterial large subunit ribosomal RNA
Source: RNAcentral